Molecule: small nuclear RNA, 121 nt
Filed under: Megaselia scalaris
Lineage: Eukaryota; Metazoa; Arthropoda; Insecta; Diptera; Phoridae
Description: U1 spliceosomal RNA
Rfam family: U1 spliceosomal RNA
About the family: U1 is a small nuclear RNA (snRNA) component of the spliceosome (involved in pre-mRNA splicing). Its 5' end forms complementary base pairs with the 5' splice junction, thus defining the 5' donor site of an intron.
Source: Rfam by way of RNAcentral
AUACUUACCUGGCAUAGAGGUCAACCUUGAUCACGAAGGAGGUUCCUCCAGGGUGAGACUUGUUCAUUGCACUGGGAACGAGUUGACCUCUGCGAUUAUCCCUAAUGUGGAUAACUCGUUU